AGAGUUUGAUCAUGGCUCAGGACGAACGCUGGCGGCGCGCCUUAUGCAUGCAAGUCGAGCGAAGCUUUUCAGUAGUUUACUACAGAAAAUGACUGAGCGGCGAACGGGUGAGUAACGCGUGAGCAAUCUACCUUAGUUACAGGGAUAGCCCGAGGAAACUCGGAUUAAUACCUGAUAUUCUUUAUAUUUCGCAUGAAAUUAAAAGGAAAGGUCAGCCGAACUAAGAUGAGCUCGCGUUCUAUCAGCUAGUUGGUGAGGUAAAAGCUCACCAAGGCUACGACGGAUAGCUGGUCUGAGAGGACGAUCAGCCACACUGGGACUGAGACACGGCCCAGACUCCUACGGGAGGCUGCAGCAGGGAAUAUUGCGCAAUGAGCGAAAGCUUGACGCAGCGACACCGCGUGUGGGAUGACGGAUCUAGGUUUGUAAACCACUUUCAGGAGGGAAGAAAAUGACGGUACCUCCACAAGAAGCCCCGGCCAACUACGUGCCAGCAGCCGCGGUAAUACGUAGGGGGCGAGCGUUGUCCGGAUUUAUUGGGCGUAAAGAGCUCGUAGGCGGUUCAACAAGUCGGUCGUGAAAGUUCAGGGCUCAACCCUGAAAUGUCGAUCGAUACUGUUGUGACUAGGAUACGGUAGAGGUGAGUGGAAUUCCGAGUGUAGCGGUGAAAUGCGUAGAUAUUCGGAGGAACACCAAUUGCGAAGGCAGCUCACUGGGGCCGCUAUCGACGCUGAGGAGCGAAAGCUAGGGGAGCAAACAGGAUUAGAUACCCUGGUAGUCCUAGCUGUAAACGAUGGAUACUAGACGUAGGAACUGGGAUCGACGGUUUCUGUGUCGCAGCUAACGCGUUAAGUAUCCCGCCUGGGGAGUACGGUCGCAAGA
Molecule: ribosomal RNA, 882 nt
Filed under: uncultured bacterium
Lineage: Bacteria
Description: bacterial SSU rRNA
Rfam family: Bacterial small subunit ribosomal RNA
Source: RNAcentral